RNAcentral lists this unclassified non-coding RNA (595 nucleotides) under Hevea brasiliensis (rubber tree). The record is from RNAcentral. Lineage: Eukaryota; Viridiplantae; Streptophyta; Magnoliopsida; Malpighiales; Euphorbiaceae.
AGCUAUGGGACGGUCACAAACAUGCAGCCUUAUCUAGCAUUGCUUGAAGGCUAUUCCCCUACUUUAGACCCAUGAGCAGGUGAAAGUGAAGCAACCUCAUCAUUGCAGUACGGUCACCCUCAGUUUCAGGCAAAUGGAUGUGUACCUAGGAAUGUAUUGAAGUCAAUUGCACAUCAUAUCAUAAUAACUUCAAGACUGAAGUUAUAAAUAUCAAUACACCAUGUAAAUGGAUGGGGUAAUUGAAUCUAAAGGUAAUAAGCCUUCCUACUAGACAUGGCCACAGGCUGGUUCAGGUCCGAUUCCGGGUCAGAACUGUCAGUUAAGCCAGCUUCAAAGUUCUGCACGGUUCUGGUUUGAAACGGUUUCAGUUCAAAAUGGUUCCGGACGAUUCCUGUUCGGCCCUAUGUAUCAUCAAACUAUGAUAAAUUUUUAGAUAUCAUUUAUAAACUAAAUAAUUUAGUUUCUAAUGUAUCAAAAAAAAACCCAAAUAUAAAUUUUAGAAAACUAAAUAAAACAAGUUUUUGAAUGGGGUCAAUUCCGGUUUGAACAACCGGCUGAUUCCGGGCUCAAUUCAAGGGGGGAGGGCCCUUAACCG